UCCCAGAGCCUUAUGUGUGUGGUUGUGGU
RNAcentral lists this non-coding RNA (29 nucleotides) under Mus musculus (house mouse). Lineage: Eukaryota; Metazoa; Chordata; Mammalia; Rodentia; Muridae. The record is from RNAcentral.